Molecule: ribosomal RNA, 497 nt
Filed under: uncultured bacterium
Lineage: Bacteria
Description: partial 16S ribosomal RNA
Rfam family: Bacterial small subunit ribosomal RNA
Source: RNAcentral
GAUGAACGCUGGCGGCGUGCCUAAUACAUGCAAGUCGAGCGAACGGACGAGAAGCUUGCUUCUCUGAUGUUAGCGGCGGACGGGUGAGUAACACGUGGAUAACCUACCUAUAAGACUGGGAUAACUUCGGGAAACCGGAGCUAAUACCGGAUGAUAUUUUGAACCGCAUGGUUCAAAAGUGAAAGACGGUCUUGCUGUCACUUAUAGAUGGAUCCGCGCUGCAUUAGCUAGUUGGUAAGGUAACGGCUUACCAAGGCAACGAUGCAUAGCCGACCUGAGAGGGGGGUCGGCCACACUGGAACUGGGACACGGUCCAGACUCCUGCGGGAGGCAGCAGUAGGGAAUCUUCCGCAGUGGGCGAAAGCCUUACGGAGCAACGCCGCGUGAGUGAUGAAGGUCUUCGGUUCGUAAAACUCUGUUAUGAGGGAAGAACAUAUGUGUAAGUAACUGUGCACAUCUUGACGGUACCUAAUCAGAAAGCCACGGCUAACUACGUG